GUACAUCAGUGCUUUCUGACUGAAAUGACUUUAGAAUAAUAAUUAUUGAUGCUAAUGCAGGGUGACAGCAGAAAUGAUGCAGUGGUGAACCUGGAGUGAGCACGCGUCAGGGUUUCCACGCCGCGGUCUGAGGUGCAGUGUCAGGAUACCCAGGAUGUUUGCUACAGCGGCCAGCGAGAGAGGCAGGACUGCAGACUUGUCCAGUCUCUUGUCAGAAGAGGAGGUGGAGGCAAGCCUAGGAAAACUGCUGUUUGCCAUAGCAAAGGACUACCAAUACACCAAGCUGCUCAUCACUGUUAAUAGGUGCUUGAAGGAAAAUUGCAGUUAUUUCAUGCAGCACUG
Molecule: long non-coding RNA, 342 nt
Filed under: Apteryx owenii (little spotted kiwi)
Lineage: Eukaryota; Metazoa; Chordata; Aves; Apterygiformes; Apterygidae
Description: lncRNA (ENSAOWG00000005309.1)
Source: RNAcentral